UUGCCUUAGUAACGGCGAGUGAAGCGGCAACAGCUCAAAUUUGAAAUCUGGCCCUCGGGUCCGAAUUGUAAUUUGUAGAGGAUGAUUUUGGUGCGGUAUCUUCCGAGUUCCUUGGAACAGGACGCCUUAGAGGGUGAGAGCCCCGUACGGUUGAAUGCCUAGCCUCUGUAAAUCUCCUUCGACGAGUCGAGUAGUUUGGGAAUGCUGCUCUAAAUGGGAGGUAAAUUUCUUCUAAAGCUAAAUAUUGGCCAGAGACCGAUAGCGCACAAGUAGAGUGAUCGAAAGAUGAAAAGCACUUUGAAAAGAGGGUUAAAUAGCACGUGAAAUUGUUGAAAGGGAAGGAUUUGUGACCAGACUUUUUCUGGGCGGAUCAUCCGGGGUUCUCUCCGGUGCACUUUGCCCAGUAAAGGCCAGCAUCGAUUUUCGGCGGCGGAUAAAAGCAGUGGGAAUGUGGCUCCCUACGGGGAGUGUUAUAGCCCAUUGUAUAAUACGCUGCUGGGGAUCGAGGUACGCGCUUCUGCAAGGAUGCUGGCGUAAUGGUUAUCAAUCACCCGUCUUGAAACACGGACCAAGGAGUCGAACAUUUAUGCGAGUGUUUGGGUGUUAAACCCUCACGCGUAAUGAAAGUGAACGGAGGUGAGAGCCCGUACGGGUGCAUCAUCGACCGAUCCUGAAGUUUUCGGAUGGAUUUGAGUAAGAGCAUAACUGUUCGGACCCGAAAGAUGGUGAACUAUGCGUGGAUAGGGUGAAGCCAGAGGAAACUCUGGUGGAGGCUCGCAGCGGUUCUGACGUGCAAAUCGAUCGUCAAAUCUGCGCAUGGGGGCGAAAGACUAAUCG
This 837-nucleotide ribosomal RNA is filed under the name Pestalotiopsis trachycarpicola. RNAcentral describes it as "partial large subunit ribosomal RNA". It matches the Rfam family "Eukaryotic large subunit ribosomal RNA", at positions 75 to 937 of the family's 3401-position model. Lineage: Eukaryota; Fungi; Ascomycota; Sordariomycetes; Amphisphaeriales; Sporocadaceae. The record is from RNAcentral.